RNA transcript from Anguilla anguilla (European eel), 2922 nucleotides. It is a transcript of the gene named non-muscle caldesmon-like, with no coding region annotated. The transcript is spliced from 19 exons. The record is from RefSeq and is a predicted model, not a curated record. NCBI's taxonomy places the organism in Eukaryota, Metazoa, Chordata, Actinopteri, Anguilliformes, Anguillidae.
AAAAAGGGAGAGGGAGAGAGAGAGAGAGAGAGAGGGAGAAAGCGGGCGAGCGAGGAGGCAGGCUUUUCCUUUUCUGGUAGUUAUAGCUGGUGAAAGCCAGAGCAGGAAUUCUUUGUCCUGCAGCGCGGGUGAGAUAUAAGCCAGACGGAGGAGGUGGUGGGGAAUCGUUCAUGGGCUAAGCGUCGACAGAGCUAAGCCUGAAAGGGGGAGCAUGGAUCCAGUGGCCGCCAUGGAAGACGACUUCGAACGUCGCAGGGAGCAGAGGAGGCAGAAGCGGGAGGAGAUGCGAUUGGAGGCGGAAAGGAUGAGUUAUCAGAGGACUGAUGAUGAUGAUGAAGAAGCAGCUCGAGAACGCAGACGCAGGGCUCGGCAGGAGAGACUGCGCAACAGGGAGAACGAGGAGGCGGCUGCCGUGACAACGGAGAGCACCACGAUCAACAACACCAACAGUGUGACGGAGACAGUCACCACGGUGACCGAGGUGGCCACCGAGGACGACCAGGCGCUCCUCGACAGGCUGGCCAAGCGAGAGGAGCGUCGCCUGAGGAGGAUGAAGGAGGCGCUGGAGAGGCAGAAGGAGCUGGACCCCACCAUCGCCGACGGCAACGAUAACGGCCAGGAGGAGCAGCCGGAGGGCCGGAGGGGACGGCACCGCGGCGAGGAGCAGGAGGAGCUCAACGACAAGGCCCCCGAAACCAACGCCUGGAAGGCGGAGAAGAAGGAGGAGCCGGAGGAGGUGAAACGUCAGGAGAAGGAGGCGGCCGUGGAGGAGAAAGAGGAGCCCGCGCCCGAGGAACCCCCAGCGGAGCCCGAGGAGCCGGAGGAGGAGGUGGAGGAGAAACCGAGGAGGUCCUACCUGAGAGAACAGGAAGAGGUAGAAGAAAAAACUGUCACAUCAAAUAAAGAGGUUGAAGAAAUAGCUAUUAUUUCAAACACAGAGGUCGAAAAAAUAUUACCAUCUAAGGUGGAGGAACCAGAAAUAGCAAAGAAAGAGGUUGAAAAAGAACCUGCAAUUUCCAAACCAGAGGUUAAAGAACAACCUGUGACAUCAGAGGAAGAUAAACCUGUUAAAUCAAAGAAAGAGGUUGAAGUGGAACUUAUCAUAUCAAAAAAUGAGUUUGAGGAGAAACCCGUGGUAGCAAAGGUGGAAGCCAAAGAAAAACCUGUGAUGGUAAAGGUAGAGGUUGAGGAAAAACCUGUGAUCACAAAAGAAGAGGUUGAAGAGAAACCUGCGAUAACGAAGAAGGACAUUCAAGAGAAACGUGUGAUAGCAAAGAAAGAGGUUGAAGAGAAACCUGUUGUAACGAAAAAAGAGGUUGAAGACAAACCGUUGAUAGCAAAGAAAGACAUUCCAGAGAAACCUGUGAUAGGAAAGAAAGAAGAUAAAGAGAAACCUGUUACAACAAAAAAAGAAGUUGAGGAGAAACUGGUGAUAGCGAAGAAAGAUGUUCAAGAGAAGCCUAUGAUACCAAAGAAAACGACUGAAGAGAAACCUGUUUUACCAAAGAAAGAGGUUGAAGACAAAUCAAUGAUAACAAAGAAAGGUAUUCAAGAGAAAUCUGUGACAGCAAAGAAAGAGGUUGAAGAGAAAUCUCUCCUUUCAAAGAAAAAGGUUGAAGAAAAAACUACCAUAUCAAAAAAAGAGGAGGUAAUAGAGGAGAAACGCAAAAGUCCCUUCAUGAAAGGACAGGAGGCUGUAGAGGAAAAGACAAAAUGGUCCAUCAGAAAAGAGGAGGUGUUUGAGAAGAAGGUGAAGGAAGUCACUCCGCCGUCCAAGCAGCAGAACGGAGCGGUCCAUGACAACACCUCCGCCAAGCACAAGAAACCCGAGAGGACUCUGAGCCGUGGGAGCAUGCGCUCUCCAGAGGUGGAGGAGCAGGACGAUGCCGCUCGACAGGAGGCGGAGCGCAAGCUGGAGGAGCUGAAGCGUCGCCGCGACGAUGCGGAGAGCGAGGAGUUCGAGAAGAUGAGGCAGAAGCAGCAGGGGGCCGAGGCCGAGCUGGAGGAGCUGAAGAGAAAGAGGGAGGAAAGGAGGAAGGUCCUAGAAGAGGAGGAGAAACGGAAGAAGCAGGAGCGCGAGGAGAAGAAGGCCAAGGAAGAGGAAGAGAAGAGGAAGAUGAAGGAGGAGAUUGAGAGGAGGAGGGCGGAGGCUGCGGAGAAGAGGCAGAAAGUGGAAGAGUCGGGCGACGGAGAGGGCAAGAAGCCGUUCAAGUGUGUCAGUCCCAGGGGCUCCUCCCUCAAGAUCGGCGAGAGGGCGGAGUUCUUAAACAAGUCUGCUCAGAAAAGCGCGGUGAAGCCGACGCACCUUCCCGUCGUCUCCAAGAUUGACAACCGACUGGAGCAGUACACCACUGCCCUUCAGUCCAGCAAGGAUCCCAAGUCCCCCAAGGCGGCAGCGGCGGACCUGCCGGUGGUGACCGACGGGAUCCGGAACAUCAAGAGCAUGUGGGAGAAAGGGAAUGUGUUCGGCUCUCCGGGGAGUCCAGGGAACACAAACAAGGAAGCUGUGGGCAUGAAGAUAGGCGUGGCCGGGCGUAUCAACGACUGGCUGACCAAAACCCCCGAGCCUGGCAAAGCUGCCGCGGCCAAGCCUGCUCCAAUCGUUUUUGCUCUGCUUGGUAGUCCCUGUUACUCUCCGUUCUCCUUGGACUCCUCUCUCUUGUGCUUCUCUUGCCUUUCCCUCCACGGCAGGACCUGAAACCUGGUGAUGUCACCAACAAGCGCAGCCUAUGGGAAAACAAGGGUUCCCCCGCGACCAAGCCUUCUCUUAGUUAGUCGACUUCGCCUCUAAACCGGAGAUGAGCAGAAGAGGUGGCGAUCGGAGGCAAGAGCAAAGCGGUCACCAAUGCAGGGACGGGACAUUAACCAUACUGAGUCUGAGACCUGAGAAGGCCGGAAUCAGCAAAAAAAAAAAAAAAAAAA